RNAcentral lists this small RNA (1338 nucleotides) under Rattus norvegicus (Norway rat). RNAcentral describes it as "uncharacterized LOC108352076". Lineage: Eukaryota; Metazoa; Chordata; Mammalia; Rodentia; Muridae. The record is from RNAcentral.
GCCUGUCAGAAGGAGGAGGAGGAGGAGGAGGAGAGAGGGGACGAGGCGGCAGCUCCAAGUUUAAUGGUCCACGUCAGGCGCGCCUGGCCCGGCUGGCGCGGGAGCGCUGGGAGGAGCAGGCGCGGGGCCGGGGGUGCCCGGCUGUGCCCGGCCCGCAGCGGGUCUGCGGACCGCGGUGCCUUCUCCGCCCAGCGAUCGCGAAGAGGGUCUGCUUUCAAUGAGCCGCCUCUGGGCUGACUGCACGGCGGUGACAUCAGGCGGGGAAGCCCGGGCGCCCUGACUCUGUGCGGCACUAGGGGGCAAUGCGGGUCCAGCCAAGGCGCGCAGCCCCGACGCCAGCGCCAGCCGGGUCGGCCUGGAGAUCAGCCGCGCCCCGCACCGCUCCCUCUGCGGGGAUGGGGCUGGGAGCAGAGCAGGGGAUCCGGGUGUGGGCAUCCGGGUUCAUACACCCCAGGGGCCCCGCUGGGAUUAUUUUCCCUCCUGUUCACGCUUCAGUUAAAAGAACACAACUCGAACUGAAUCAGGUGAACUGAUGCUGGCCUCGCUGGUCCCCACGGACUCUGCCAUCUGAGAUGACUACUGAGGUUGAAGAGGAUUUUGCCUGACACUGGACAAGGGUGUGAGUUAAAGAAGGAAAGAAAGAAAUACAGAAUACAGGGCUCAAAUUUCUCCAUCUUUCCUCUUCUUCCUCUCUCGUGCUUUCUGAUCCAAACCACACAAGCCUUUUGGGGGAUUUUUUUUUCAAUUGUGGUCACCAACUUCAAAGAGUUCUAAAGGAAGUGGUGGGACUCUUUUCCUUGGAGGCAUCUAAAAUUGUACUUGGACAAAGAGUUAGGGCCCAGCUUUGGAGGGGACAGACCAGGUCCCAAGGGAUUUAGACAGAGGAGAGAACUUGGACUGUUUUCUGCCUUCUUUCUCUAUUUUUGAGUGUCUCUGGGUGGGACCUUGGGAGAAGUAUGGACAAGCUUGGCAAUUGCGUGUGGCAUCACUUUGGUUACAGGGACAUGGUGAGGGGGACAAGGGUGAGAAAGAGGCUGUUUCCUCUGCAGCGCCAAGUAAAGAUGCUGGAGCACUGAGUAAGGAGACAGGAAAUGCCCAGAAAUUCUCAGCUGUUUACUGGACACCAAAUUAAAAGAUUUGGAAAUGAGCCCAAAGAGUCUUUAAAAGAUGACCGGAGAAAGAGGAGGUAUCCUGGUCUUUCUGCUUCUUAUAGGGACUCUACUCGUGAGUGGACACUGUUUUAGGAACGUCUAGACAAGAGAAAUCUGGGAUAAUGGAAAUUCACUCCAUGAUGCACAUUCCCAGGAGGACCCCGUUGAUCUCCUCUGCCCACUAAAG